This 1614-nucleotide long non-coding RNA is filed under the name Pan troglodytes (chimpanzee). RNAcentral's name for it is "lincRNA". The stretch from base 496 to 600 matches the Rfam family "Maternally expressed 3 conserved region 2". The record is from RNAcentral. Lineage: Eukaryota; Metazoa; Chordata; Mammalia; Primates; Hominidae.
CCUUGGCUCGCUGGCCUUGGCUGCGGCUCCUCGGGAGAGCUGGGGCGCCCACGAGAGGAUCCCUCACCUGGGUCUCUCCUCAGGGAUGACAUCAUCCGUCCACCUCCUUGUCUUCAAGGACCACCUCCUCUCCAUGCUGAGCUGCUGCCAAGGGGCCUGCUGCCCAUCUACACCUCACGAGGGCACUAGGAGCACGGAUUCCUGGAUCCCACCAACAUACAAAGCAGCCACUCACUGACCCCCAGGACCAGGAUGGCAAAGGAUGAAGAGGACCGGAACUGACCAGCCAGCUGUCCCUCUUACCUAAAGACUUAAACCAAUGCCCUAGUGAGGGGGCAUUGGGCAUUAAGCCCUGACCUUUGCUAUGCUCAUACUUUGACUCUAUGAGUACUUUCCUAUAAGUCUUUGCUUGUGUUCACCUGCUAGCAAACUGGAGUGUUUCCCUCCCCAAGGGGGUGUCAGUCUUUGUCGACUGACUCUGUCAUCACCCUUAUGAUGUCCUGAAUGGAAGGAUCCCUUUGGGAAAUUCUCAGGAGGGGGACCUGGGCCAAGGGCUUGGCCAGCAUCCUGCUGGCAACUCCAAGGCCCUGGGUGGGCUUCUGGAAUGAGCAUGCUACUGAAUCACCAAAGGCACGCCCCACCUCUCUGAAGAUCUUCCUAUCCUUUUCUGGGGAAUGGGGUCGAUGAGAGCAACCUCCUAGGGUUGUUGUGAGAAUUAAAUGAGAUAAAAGAGGCCUCAGGCAGGAUCUGGCAUAGAGGAGGUGAUCAGCAAAUGUUUGUUGAAAAGGUUUGACAGGUCAGUCCCUUCCCACCCCUCUUGCUUGUCUUACUUGUCUUAUUUAUUCUCCAACAGCACUCCAGGCAGCCCUUGUCCACGGGCUCUCCUUGCAUCAGGACGAAUAAUUUAUGGUCAGUGAAAAUCGAGGCCCCAGUGAGAUUCGAGUGGGCUGUAAAAUCGAGAGUCCUGCUCCCACAGGUUCCCAGUGCCCCCGACAAGCCCCUGCUGGUGUCUCCAUCUCCUGCCAAGCAUCCUCCAGUGCCUCCUCCUGUGGGCCUGGCCUCAGGGCUAUGGACAGACUCCUGUCCCAUCCCAGAGACCCCUCGUGAUCGUGCCCUGGCACGUGGGCCGUGGCCCGGCUGGGUCGGCUGAAGAACUGCGGAUGGAAGCUGCGGAAGAGGCCCUGAUGGGGCCCACCAUCCCGGACCCAAGUCUUCUUCCUGGCGGGCCUCUCGUCUCCUUCCUGGUUUGGGCGGAAGCCAUCACCUGGAUGCCUACGUGGGAAGGGACCUCGAAUGUGGGACCCCAGCCCCUCUCCAGCUCGAAAUCCCUCCACAGCCACGGGGACGCCCUGCACCUAUUCCCACGGGACAGGCUGGACCCAGAGACUCUGGACCCGGGGCCUCCCCUUGAGUAGAGACCCGCCCUCUGACUGAUGGACGCCGCUGACCUGGGGUCAGACCCGUGGGCUGGACCCCUGCCCACCCCGCAGGAACCCUGAGGCCUAGGGGAGCUGUUGAGCCUUCGGUGUCUGCAUGUGGGAAGUGGGCUCCUUCACCUACCUCACAGGGCUGUUGUGAGGGGCGCUGUGAUGCGGUUCCAAAGCACAGGGCUUG